ACUGAGGCGGAUCCAGAGGGCACAUCACAGCUGGACGCUCAGAACAGAGGUCCCGGGGCCAGCCAGGGUCCUUGGCCUGAGUCAUGGCAACAGAAGCCAAUCGAGCAGCCACAGUUACCCCCAGGUCUGGAGCUGAAGGGCUCCCUCCGUGGCAGGGCCUCAGCCACCCCCAGCCUGGCCAGACAGAUCAACCCCAGAAAGUCCCGCCCCAGGAGAAGCCCAGGAGGAGGAGCCGCCGUCUCAAGGAGCUGGGGGCCUGCCAUGUUGUCGUCGCUCUGCUGUACGUGUUCCUUGGGGGUUACCUGGCCGCCAUCGUCCAGAGCCUUCACCUGGUGGUGCUGAAGUCUUGGUAUCCGUUCUGGGGGGCUGCUUCUUUCCUCAUUUCAGGGAUCUUGGCAAUAACAAUGGAGACAUUUCAGAAAAAUUACCUGGUAAGUCACAGCGUUGAGAGUGUUCCCUUCCAUCCCAAGCCUGGGGUAACUUUUCAACGGGCAUCGUUUGGAGUGCGGACUCAAGAGGCAUCUCUCCAGGAUUUGCUAGACGUGGGCACCAGCCUCUGGGACAGCAGAGGGCGUCCGGGCUGAAUGGUCCCCCUUCCUGGAGGUCUGACCUCACACCCUGACUCCCGCCUUUCUCUCCACCUGCUGCCCUCUCCCCACCCCGGUUCUGGCCUAGAGACAGGCAUCAUCCAGCCUAUUGAUGGUAGCCUUGGAGAUUGUUCUGCCAGCCCUACCUUGGCCCCCUGGGCCCCGCCAUCAUACUCCCUACCCCACCCCACCCAAGGCUUGCCUCCAACAUCAGCAAGUCUACCUGCCUGCAGGCUGGACCGCAGCUGGGUUUCCAUAUACGUCUCACCUCUAAGCGCCAGCUGGACACAAGUGGUCCCCCCUGUGCUCUGUGCUGUCUUGUGCCCAGGCACCUUGCCUCUCCCCACUGUGCAUGUUCUCCUGGCUUUGACUUCCUCCUGAUCAUUCUUCAAGGUGCACUUUACAUGCCUCCUCCUCCAGGCAGUCUUCCCUGACCUGCCCUGGCUGGCUCCUGUGUCCCCACAGCUCCUUGGACUUCUCUGUCUCCUUUCUCUCUCAGGCACUAAGCUUGGGCAGCAACUGCCUGAGCAUCUUUCUAGCCCGAGGCAGCCCAGGGAGGCACAGAGUGGACACCCACAUGAGCCCAAGUGGAUGGAGGUGGAUGGGGGCGGGAAGGACCAUCCCAUCCACCCUGUGUCAUGGCCUCAGCACCCCCUCCACCCCCAAGCCCUGGCUGGGUCCACAUUCAUGCCUCCCAUUGCUGAUGAACGGGGAUGGCCUGUCUCUUCUGUGAAUUCACAGGAUCUGAUGGAAAAAAGGGAAGACUCGCCAUCCAGCUUCUCCACUUCCCACCACCUCCCUCUCCCCAAGGGGCAGGGCAGCCCAGGCAUGGUCCCUUGCUCCUCCCUGGCUUGUGCUCUGGCUGUCCCCACCGCCCUCUGUCCGCAGGAGCAGUCUUUGCUGGGGCUGGGGACGUGGAGUAUGGGGCAGGGUGUGGUGCAUCCGAGCUCAUUCAGCCAGGACGUGCGCAAAACUCAUCUCGGUCAAGCGCCAAGGCCGGCUCACAUUCGUGCCUCCCAGACCGGGCUGGACUGGCUGCCCCCUGCCCUCUUGGGGUGUAGCAGACAAAAGCAUGUUGUGCCACUUACCCAGCAGAGGCAGGGAUGCUUGGCAGAAACCUGGCCAUUCCUCCUGGGCUGGGCCCCUUCCAGACCCAUAAGCCUACCCCUUCCUACACCUGAACGCGGGGAGCCUCUCAUUGCAGAGAAAUCCAUUCUAGCAUAAGAGGUUGGGGUGCCUUAUGUUUAUACCCUUUCCCCAUUAUAGGGGUUUGUACUUGGCAAGAAUCCUGUGGAAUAAGGCGGCGUGCCUGACAGCAAAUGCCAUCAGCUUCUUCUGUGUGCUCUGUGGCCUCUUUGUCAUCGCCAAGGAUCUCUUUCUGGAGAGCCCAUUUGACUUCCCUGUCUGGAAACCAUACCCCAACGACACAGUCCACAUCCAGAGGCUGGUGCUGGCCCUGCUCUGCGUCACCUGCCUGGAGGUCUUCCUGCCGGGGCUCAUGGCCAUCCUGGCUUAUAGGGAUACCCGCCUGGCUGCAGAGAAGGAUGACCUGUCCCUUGGCCCUGACAUGCUGUUGGAGCUCAGGGGGUCUCCGAUGACACCUCCACCAUCCUAUGACGAUGUGACUAAAGGCAACGGGUGGCAGGAGCAGAAGCAGAUGUGAAGAGGCACUGGCUCCACGCACCAUCAGAAUUCACCCACUGGUCCCUUGUCCUGGACAGAUUAAGGACCAAUUCCAAGGGGCGGUUACCAGAAGGGGGCAAACGGUACCAUGGCUAAAAACGUCUGCCCCAUGCUGGUGGCCAGGGAGGGGAAGUCCCCAUUCUGUCUGGCAUGGGAGGGACCUCCAGGUCCCCACGCCCCGUAACAUCCCAGCUGGACCAGAACACAACUGGGUCCUGCCCACCCACCCAGGCAGACACGGGAACAGACCCCUGGGUCCGCAGCCCCCUCCCCCACCCUCCUUGUCUGCUUCCCCCAGUCCCUGGUGGGCACAUAGACAUCCUGUCCACGUGGGGCUGUGCCUGAAGAGGAGAAGGGUCCUCAGAGCCCAGAUGGGCACCGUUUUCCCUGGACUCGACCUACCAAGGGGUCUCUACAAACACUUGUGUUUGAAUCCCUGGAUUCGGGGUGGAAACAGCAGGGGCAAUCAGACAGAAACUAUGACCAGUUCUUCCUCCCAAACCAUCAGCAUGUCUCCCCGCCCCCACCCCGGGGCCUCAGUGUCUCCAUCUGUACAGGGAAGGGGCGGGUGGAAGAUGUGACCAGGACCUACCUGCUGGGAAGUUCUGAGAUCAGAGUCAAGUUCACUCAAGGUUAUCAAGGAAGCAUCAGCAUCAGAAUUCCACACCUCCUUGUGCUGAGCGAAUAGUGGGGAGAGAGACCUACCUUCCUCAUUUCCCAAAUUUUCAGUCAUCCAAGGGCCGACCUUACAAAUUUGGUCUAUUUGUGGACUGUGCUGUAUUCCCUUUAUGUUCCCUUAAAUUGCCUUUUUUUCUCAUGCACUAUUAUGUGAGGGGUAAUUUGCAUCAGCAACAAACAGGAAGUCUGUACCUAUCCAUACAAAGAAGCCAACCACAAAAAUCACGUAAACACGGUAAAAAUAAAACAAAAGCAACUUGUCGCCU
RNAcentral lists this long non-coding RNA (3214 nucleotides) under Sus scrofa (pig). RNAcentral describes it as "lncRNA (ENSSSCG00065018986.1)". The record is from RNAcentral. Lineage: Eukaryota; Metazoa; Chordata; Mammalia; Artiodactyla; Suidae.